UUUUCACAAAAGAAAAAAAAUGGUACAAUGAUGUCAGCCAAAUAUCAACAUCAACGUACGGAUGUGCAGAUCCAGCUAUCAUAGUCAUUGAUUGAUCUAACGGAGUUAUUAUGUUAAUGUACUCUUCGGAGUUAGUAUAUUUCUUCUUAAUAUCUUCGAGUGAUAGAGAGUAUAUUACUCUACUGUCAUAGAUUGCUCUAGUGAAAGUAUGUGGUGAGUUUUGUGAACUUUCAUCAGAAU
RNAcentral lists this long non-coding RNA (240 nucleotides) under Salvia miltiorrhiza (redroot sage). RNAcentral's name for it is "long non-coding RNA (SMIL_LNC013207)". The record is from RNAcentral. Lineage: Eukaryota; Viridiplantae; Streptophyta; Magnoliopsida; Lamiales; Lamiaceae.